RNAcentral lists this ribosomal RNA (217 nucleotides) under Acinetobacter baumannii. RNAcentral describes it as "partial 23S ribosomal RNA". It matches the Rfam family "Bacterial large subunit ribosomal RNA", at positions 1 to 209 of the family's 2925-position model. Lineage: Bacteria; Pseudomonadati; Pseudomonadota; Gammaproteobacteria; Moraxellales; Moraxellaceae. The record is from RNAcentral. RNAcentral also lists the same sequence under 1 other name.
GGGUUGUGAGGUUAAGCGACUAAGCGUACACGGUGGAUGCCCUGGCAGUCAGAGGCGAUGAAGGACGUGCUAAUCUGCGAAAAGCGUCGGUAAGGUGAUAUGAACCGUUAUAACCGGCGAUGUCCGAAUGGGGAAACCCAGUGUGAUUCGUCACACUAUCGUUAACUGAAUACAUAGGUUAACGAGGCGAACCGGGGGAACUGAAACAUCUAAGUAC